GAUGAACGCUGGCGGCGUGCCUAAUACAUGCAAGUCGAGCGAACGGACGAGAAGCUUGCUUCUCUGAUGUUAGCGGCGGACGGGUGAGUAACACGUGGAUAACCUACCUAUAAGACUGGGAUAACUUCGGGAAACCGGAGCUAAUACCGGAUAAUAUUUUGAACCGCAUGGUUCAAAAGUGAAAGACGGUCUUGCUGUCACUUAUAGAUGGAUCCGCGCUGCAUUAGCUAGUUGGUAAGGUAACGGCUUACCAAGGCAACGAUGCAUAGCCGACCUGAGAGGGUGAUCGGCCACAGUGGAGCUGAGACACGGUCCAGACUCCGACGGGAGGCAGCAGUAGGGAAUCUUCCGCACUGGGCGAAAGCCUGACGGAGCAACGCCGCGUGAGUGAUGAAGGGCUUCGGAUCGUAAAACGCUGUUAUUAGGGAAGAACAUAUGUGUAAGUAACUGUGCACAUCUGGACGGUACCUAAUCAGAAAACCACGGCUAACUACGU
Molecule: ribosomal RNA, 496 nt
Filed under: uncultured bacterium
Lineage: Bacteria
Description: partial 16S ribosomal RNA
Rfam family: Bacterial small subunit ribosomal RNA
Source: RNAcentral